CAGGCCUAACACAUGCAAGUCGAGGGGCAGCAUGAGAGUAGCUUGCUACUUUUGAUGGCGACCGGCGAAUGGGUGAGUAACGCGUAUCCAACCUGCCGCACACCCGGGAAUAGCCCUUGGAAAUGAGGAUUAAGUCCCGAUAUGCAUGGUAGUUGCAUGACUACUGUGUGAACCCAGGUAUGCGAUGGGGAUGCGUCCGAUUAGCUUGCCGGCGGGGUAACGGCCCACCGGGGCAUCGAUCGGUAGGGGUUCUGAGAGGAAGGUCCCCCACACUGGUACUGAGACACGGACCAGACUCCUACGGGAGGCAGCAGUGAGGAAUAUUGGUCAAUGGACGAGAGUCUGAACCAGCCAAGUAGCGUGCAGGAUGACGGCCCUAUGGGUUGUAAACUGCUUUUUCCGGGGAAUAACAUGUGCCACGUGUGGCACUUUGCAUGUACCCGGUGAAUAAGGACCGGCUAAUUCCGUGCCAGCAGCCGCGGUAAUACGGAAGGUCCGAGCGUUAUCCGGAUUUAUUGGGUUUAAAGGGUGCGCAGGCGGAAGUGCAAGUCAGCCGUGAAAUCGCGUGGCUCAACCACGCUGAGCGGUUGAAACUGUUCUUCUUGAGUGCGGUGAAGGAAGGCGGAAUUCGUGGUGUAGCGGUGAAAUGCAUAGAUAUCACGAAGAACUCCGAUUGCGUAGGCAGCUUUCCGUACCGUUACUGACGCUCAUGCACGAAGGUGCGGGUAUCAAACAGGAUUAGAUACCCUGGUAGUCCGCACAGUAAACGAUGGAUGCUCGCGGUUCGGCCGUUAUGGUUGUGCCGCUUAGCGAAAGCGUUAAGCAUCCCACCUGGGGAGUACGCCGGCAACGGUGAAACUCAAAGGAAUUGACGGGGGCCCGCACAAGCGGAGGAACAUGUGGUUUAAUUCGAUGAUACGCGAGGAACCUUACCCGGGCUUGAAAUGUACCUGACGGGAGGCAGAGACGCCUUCUUUCUUCGGACAGGUAUGUAGGUGCUGCAUGGUUGUCGUCAGCUCGUGCCGUGAGGUGUCGGCUUAAGUGCCAUAACGAGCGCAACCCUUCCCGCCGGUUACCAUCAUUAGGUUGGGGACUCCGGCGGCACUGCCACCGCAAGGUGUGAGGAAGGCGGGGAUGACGUCAAAUCAGCACGGCCCUUACGUCCGGGGCCACACACGUGUUACAAUGGGGGGCACAGAAAGCUGGAUGCCGGCGACGGCAUUCGAAUCAUCAAAUCCCCUCCCAGUUCGGACUGGAGUCUGCAACCCGACUCCACGAAGCUGGAUUCGCUAGUAAUCGCGCAUCAGCCAUGGCGCGGUGAAUACGUUCCCGG
RNAcentral lists this ribosomal RNA (1333 nucleotides) under uncultured rumen bacterium. Its description in RNAcentral is "bacterial SSU rRNA". It matches the Rfam family "Bacterial small subunit ribosomal RNA", at positions 43 to 1377 of the family's 1533-position model. The record is from RNAcentral.